Acipenser ruthenus (sterlet) is the source of this 812-nucleotide long non-coding RNA. RefSeq lists it as uncharacterized. The record is from RefSeq and is a predicted model, not a curated record. Lineage: Eukaryota; Metazoa; Chordata; Actinopteri; Acipenseriformes; Acipenseridae. The transcript has 4 exons.
AUGCGGCAGCAGGGUUGAUCCCCCUUUCUGCAGAAACCAGGCUCUGUCUAGUCCUCGCUUCAAUUGCCCCAUCUGCAUCUUCGCCCUGAUUGUCGCUGUCAUCCUGCACUGGCCGGCCGUCUAAAGAAAUGUUGGUUUUUACAGAAUUUGAAGAGGAUUGAUCAAUAUGUAUGAAGUCCACCAGAAAAUAUUGCAUUGUAUGGACGCCGUCUUCUUGUGCGCUGGGCUGGUGUCAUCUCUUCUUUUAUAUAUCCUAAAGAAAAAGAGAACGGGCGCUCGAUUGAGACUUGCUGCCUGCUAGGCUUGGUUGAGGGGAAGGGCAGUAAGUGAUUGGCUGUCAGUUUAAAAGCAUCCGCGGGAGAUGGUUCGAGGCGACUGUAACGCCAUGCCAGAGGGGAGCGGCGUAUACUCAGGAGGAGAGGGUCCGCGCUGCAGGAACGACAGCUACGCAACCCUGAGACUGCAAGCAGUGCUUGUGAAGCCAAUGCCCAGCCAAGGCCGUAUGAAGCAGCAGGAGUCGUUGUAUGAAUACCGGCUCAUGAGUAGGUUAGUUAGGGGAUAGUGAUUCCAUGUGAUGUAUAGCGAGGGUUACGUAGUGUAGCCGGUUCCUGGAGCGGGACGCCUCGUUUAUAAGACUAGAGCUCGCCCUCUGGGGCACCUUUUAUUUGUAGUUUUUGUACUGUGUUUUAUUUUGCCUUUUGUACAGCUUGCUGUAUGUGUCCUCUGUGUGUUACCAUGGCUGAUAACGUCACAUGACCACCUUUACUUUCAUUUCUGUUUGUGUUAAUAAAUCCUGCGCGCCUGUGCCGGCG